GCCCACUGGUAGGUGGGUAGAAUAUACCAAGGGGAGCGAUAGAACCCUCGUUAAGGAAUUAGGCAAAUUUCCCCCGUACGUUCGCAAUAAGGGGGGCCUCUGGUGGUGAGCUUAAUCGCAAAGCUGCUGGAGGCCGCAGAGAAAUGGCUCUUCCAACUGUUUAACAAAAACACAGGUCUCUGCUAAGUCGAAAGACGAAGUAUAGGGGCUGACGCCUGCCCAGUGCUGGAAGGUUAAGGGGAGAGGUUAGGCGCAAGCCGAAGCUUUGAGCCGAAGCCCCAGUGAACGGCGGCCGUAACAAUAACGGUCCUAAGGUAGCGAAAUUCCUUGUCGGGUAAGUUCCGACCCGCACGAAUGGCGUAAUGAGAGGAGCACUGUCUCAACGAGGGACUCGGCGAACAUUGAAGGACGUGUGAAGAUACACGUGACCCGCAGCGGGACAAAAAGACCCCGUGAAGCUUUACUACAACUUGCCAUUGAGUUAGGGCUAAACCUGUGUAGUAUAGGUGGGAGGCUUUGAAGCUGGGACGCCAGUCUCGGUGGAGCCACCGUUGAAAUACCACCCUGGUUUAUUCUUGGCUCUAACCUGUCGCCGUUAUCCGGCAUGGGAACAGUGGCUGGUGGGUAGUUUGACUGGGGCGGUCGCCUCCGAAAGCGUAACAGAGGCGCCCAAAGGUUCCCUCAGGCUGAAUGGAAACCAGCCGUUGAGUGUAAAGGCACAAGGGAGCUUGACUGCAAGACCAACAAGUCGCGCAGGGACGAAAGUCGGGCUUAGUGAUCCCACGGUUCAGAGUGGAAUGGCCGUGGCUUACCGGAUAAAAGCUACUCCGGGGAUAACAGGGUAGUCUGGUCCAAGAGUUCAUAUCGACGACCAGGUUCGCCACCUCGAUGUCGGCUCAUCACAUCCUGGGGCUGGAUAAGGUCCCAAGGGUUGGGCUGUUCGCCCAUUAAAGUGGUACGUGAGCUGGGUUCAGACCGUCGUGAGACAGGUCGGUCUCUAUCCGCUGUGGGCGUAAGGGAUUUGAGAUAAGCUGCCCCUAGUACGAGAGGACCGGGGUGGACGGACCUCUAGUGUGCCAGUUGUUCUGCCAAGAGCAUUGCUGGGUAGCUACGUCCGGCAGAGAUAACCGCUGAAAGCAUCUAAGUGGGAAACUCGUCUCAAGAUUAGAUCCCUCAUCCGUAUGGAGUAAGACCGCUAGAAGACUACUAGUUUGAUAGGCGGCAGGUGUAAGCGCAGUAAUGUGUUCAGCUUAGCCGUAAUGGUCGAGGGCUUACGUUU
Molecule: ribosomal RNA, 1279 nt
Filed under: metagenome
Description: bacterial LSU rRNA
Rfam family: Bacterial large subunit ribosomal RNA
Source: RNAcentral